UUUAUUUUUAUUGUCAGAUCGGUCUGUAAUGUACGUGUUUUUAUAUGGCAAGCAUAUGUUUUUGUGCUGAACUUCAACCACAUCUUGAUUUUUAAAAUUUUGGAUGCGUUCUCAUUCUAUUUUCCAGGAUGGCACUACUCAUGAUAAUGCUGCUGAGCGUUCUCAGUCAUUGGAUGGCAGGUGCUGACCCUCUUUCUAUGUGAUGUAUUUGUUGGGACUUAGGUUAGAAAGACUAUGAGCCUUCUGCCUGUAUGCAUGAAUAUAUACCUCAUGUGUGCCCAGUCCUCAGAGUAGCCAGAAGAUGGCCUGAGACCUCCUGAAAGUGGAAGAAUGAAGAUAGGUGUGACUCCCCUGUAAAUACAGGAUGCAGUGACUUAUGAGGACGUGCAUGUGAACUUCACUCAAGAGGAGUGGGCUUUGCUGGAUCCUUCCCAGAAGAAGAUCUACAAAGAUGUCAUGCUGGAGACCUACAGGAACCUUGAUGCUGUAGGAUUUAACUGGGAAGACCAAAAAUAUUGAAGAACAUUGCCUAAGAUCUAGAAGACGUAGAAGG
Molecule: long non-coding RNA, 553 nt
Organism: Mastomys coucha (southern multimammate mouse)
Lineage: Eukaryota; Metazoa; Chordata; Mammalia; Rodentia; Muridae
Exons: 3
Source: RefSeq, a predicted model, not a curated record